Molecule: ribosomal RNA, 796 nt
Filed under: Bacillus sp. (in: firmicutes)
Lineage: Bacteria; Bacillati; Bacillota; Bacilli; Caryophanales; Bacillaceae
Description: bacterial SSU rRNA
Rfam family: Bacterial small subunit ribosomal RNA
Source: RNAcentral
CAAUAGACAUGCAAGUCGAGCGAACAGAAGGGAGCUUGCUCCCGGAUGUUAGCGGCGGACGGGUGAGUAACACGUGGGUAACCUGCCUGUAAGACUGGGAUAACUCCGGGAAACCGGAGCUAAUACCGGAUAGUUCCUUGAACCGCAUGGUUCAAGGAUGAAAGACGGUUUCGGCUGUCACUUACAGAUGGACCCGCGGCGCAUUAGCUAGUUGGUGGGGUAAUGGCUCACCAAGGCGACGAUGCGUAGCCGACCUGAGAGGGUGAUCGGCCACACUGGGACUGAGACACGGCCCAGACUCCUACGGGAGGCAGCAGUAGGGAAUCUUCCGCAAUGGACGAAAGUCUGACGGAGCAACGCCGCGUGAGUGAUGAAGGUUUUCGGAUCGUAAAGCUCUGUUGUUAGGGAAGAACAAGUGCGAGAGUAACUGCUCGCACCUUGACGGUACCUAACCAGAAAGCCACGGCUAACUACGUGCCAGCAGCCGCGGUAAUACGUAGGUGGCAAGCGUUGUCCGGAAUUAUUGGGCGUAAAGGGCUCGCAGGCGGUUUCUUAAGUCUGAUGUGAAAGCCCCCGGCUCAACCGGGGAGGGUCAUUGGAAACUGGGAAACUUGAGUGCAGAAGAGGAGAGUGGAAUUCCACGUGUAGCGGUGAAAUGCGUAGAGAUGUGGAGGAACACCAGUGGCGAAGGCGACUCUCUGGUCUGUAACUGACGCUGAGGAGCGAAAGCGUGGGGAGCGAACAGGAUUAGAUACCCUGGUAGUCCACGCCGUAAACGAUGAGUGCUAGUGGUUAA